Molecule: long non-coding RNA, 478 nt
Organism: Schistocerca serialis cubense
Lineage: Eukaryota; Metazoa; Arthropoda; Insecta; Orthoptera; Acrididae
Exons: 3
Source: RefSeq, a predicted model, not a curated record
GGAGACAUAUGACACAGUACACGAAUAUUGACAGUCCGUUAUCACUUUGGUGUAGUGAGGAAAGUCCUCAGCUGCGGUUACGAAACAACUGAAGAGGAGGCCAUUGUAACAUUUUAUGCCGUGCCACAGCUGCGGACUGUGAUCCUGGACAAGGAUAUUUCACCCAGGGUAUUGGAGACUCUGUCCUCUGGCUGUCCGCACCUCACCACUCUGCAAGCAACUUAUCUGCAGGUGCUGACUUACUUGAGGUGAAUGGAGACAUGUGCGGUACAAGUACUCAGCAAGAUGCGACAGUGAGUAAACAUCUUUACCUGCUGUGGGCGGGGCAUUUUACGUUUUGACGUCGCAGCUCAGCAGUGUCUCGACUGUUGAGGAGCAGACAUCCACUAUGAGAAUGAAAACAGCAAUGAACAAAGUUAGCUCUAAAAUGAAAUGCCUCUCGCUUAUUGUCACGCCUUUGAGGUGUAUGUUGUAUUUA